This 73-nucleotide transfer RNA is filed under the name Vicugna pacos (alpaca). Its description in RNAcentral is "tRNA-Ala (AGC) (tRNA-Ala-AGC-144-1)". It matches the Rfam family "tRNA". From Rfam's summary of the family: Transfer RNA (tRNA) molecules are approximately 80 nucleotides in length. Lineage: Eukaryota; Metazoa; Chordata; Mammalia; Artiodactyla; Camelidae. The record is from RNAcentral.
GGAGGGUAUAGCUCAGUGGUAGAGCGCGUGCUUAGCAUGCACAAGGUCCUGGGUUCAAUCCCCAGUACCUCCA